Molecule: ribosomal RNA, 269 nt
Filed under: uncultured bacterium
Lineage: Bacteria
Description: partial small subunit ribosomal RNA
Rfam family: Bacterial small subunit ribosomal RNA
Source: RNAcentral
AGAGCGAACGCUGGCGGCGUGCUUAACACAUGCAAGUCGAACGCGCAGCAUUCUGUAGCAAUACAGGGUGUGGGCGCGUGGCGAACGGGUGCGUAACACGUGGAUAACCUUCCUUCAGGUGGGGAAUAACCCAGUUAAAAUUGGGCUAAUACCACAUAACAAAACGAUGAGACAUCUUGUUGUUUUCAAAGGCGCAAGUCGCCAGAAGAGGGAUCCGCGGCCGAUUAGCUUGUUGGCGAGGUAAUGGCUCACCAAGGCAAUGAUCGGUA